UUUCAUUUUGUUUUUUCAUUUUUUAUUUUUUUAUUUUUUGGUGUUUUCCUGCUGGCUGUCCCUGUUUGAAAGUGGGAAGGAGGAAAUGGGAGGC
Molecule: non-coding RNA, 94 nt
Filed under: Palpitomonas bilix
Lineage: Eukaryota
Source: RNAcentral